RNAcentral lists this ribosomal RNA (590 nucleotides) under Diversispora spurca. Its description in RNAcentral is "LSU rRNA". It matches the Rfam family "Eukaryotic large subunit ribosomal RNA", at positions 76 to 617 of the family's 3401-position model. Lineage: Eukaryota; Fungi; Glomeromycota; Glomeromycetes; Diversisporales; Diversisporaceae. The record is from RNAcentral.
UCCCCUAGUAACGGCGAGUGAAGAGGGAAAAGCUCAAAUUUUAAAUCUACCUGGUUUUUCCCAGAUCGAGUUGUAGUUUGAAGAAGCGAUAUCGGUGUUGAGGUCUGGUUUAAGUUCUUUGGAACAAGACAUCAUGGAGGGUGAGAAUCCCGUGCAUGAUCAGACCAAGAUACUAAGUAUACGCUUUCCAAGAGUCGAGUUGUUUGGGAGUGCAGCUCAAAAUGGGUGGUAGACUUCACCUAAGGCUAAAUAUCAGCGAGAGACCGAUAGCGAACAAGUACUGUGAAGGAAAGAUGAAAAGAACUUUGAAAAGAGAGUUAAAUAGUACGUGAAAUUGUUGAAAGGGAAACGAUUGAAGUCAGUCAUGCCAGUGAAAACUCAGUUUGUCGGUGAUCUAGUUCAGGAGUAGAGGCAGGGUCAAACCGUCUCUCUUCUGGACGGGAUUUUUGGCAGAUGGAAUUUUUUUCUGGCAGGUCAGCGUCGGUUUCGGGGGUUGUAAAAUACUUGGGGUAAAGUAGCUCUGCUUCGGGAGAGUGUUAUAGACCUUGGGGGAUACAGCCCGCGGGAUCGAGGAUUGCAGCAAAUGCCUU